AGGAUGAACGCUGGCGGUCUGCUUAACACAUGCAAGUCGAACGGAGUAGCAAUACUUAGUGGCGGACGGGUGAGUAACGCGUGAGAAUCUACCUUCAGGACGGAGACAACAGUUGGAAACGACUGCUAACCCCCGAUGUACCGCAAGGGCAAAUAUUUAUAGCCUGAAGAAGAGCUCGCGUCCGAUUAGCUAGUUGGAGAGGUAAAAGCUCACCAAGGCGACGAUCGGUAGCUGGUCUGAGAGGACGAUCAGCCACACUGGGACUGAGACACGGCCCAGACUCCUACGGGAGGCAGCAGUGGGAAUUUCCGCAAUGGGCGAAAGCCUGACGGAGCAAGACCGCGUGGGGGAAGAAGGCUCUUGGGUUGUAAACCCUUUCUCUGGGAAGAACGCAAUGACGGUACCAGAGGAAUCAGCAUCGGCUAACUCCGUGCCAGCAGCCGC
RNAcentral lists this ribosomal RNA (444 nucleotides) under uncultured bacterium. RNAcentral describes it as "SSU rRNA". It matches the Rfam family "Bacterial small subunit ribosomal RNA", at positions 26 to 518 of the family's 1533-position model. The record is from RNAcentral.